RNAcentral lists this long non-coding RNA (1517 nucleotides) under Pogona vitticeps (central bearded dragon). RNAcentral describes it as "lncRNA (ENSPVIG00000006690.1)". Lineage: Eukaryota; Metazoa; Chordata; Lepidosauria; Squamata; Agamidae. The record is from RNAcentral.
UGUCCUAUCUUUUCUUUCUUUCUUUCUUUCCUCCCUCCCUUUCCUCUCAUCUCUCCUUCCUUCCUUCCUAUCUUUUCCUUCCUUCCUUGUUUUCUCCCUGUUCUUCCUUCCUUCCUUGUUUUCUCCUUGUCCUUCCUUCCUUCCUAUAUUUUUUUUUCUUUCCUUCCUUCCUAUCUUUUCUUUCCUCCUUUCCUCCUCUUUCCUCUCCUCUCUCCUUUCUUCCUUUCCUUCCUUCUGUCCUAUCUUUUCUUUCUUUCUUUCCUCCCUUCCUUUCCUCUCAUCUCUCCUUCCUUCCUUCCUCUCUUUUCCUUCCUAUCUUUUCCUUCCUAUCUUUUCUUUCCUCCUUUCCUCCUCUUUCCUCUCCUCUCUCCUUUCAUUCCUUCCGUCCUGUCUUUUCUUUCCUCCCUUCCUUCUUUCCUCUCCUCUCUCCUUUUUGCCUUCCUUCCUUCCUAUCUUCUUUCUUUCCUCCUUUCCUCCUCUUUCCUCUCCUCUCUCUUUCUUUCCUCCCUUCCUUCCUAGAGGAGUUGUCUGGGGAGGGGAUCCUUGCACUGCCACUCUGGGAAGUUGUGAUUUUGGGAGGCCUCUGGCUGCCCCCUACCAGGACCCCUGCAUGGCGAGGGUGGGAUAAGCAAGGCGGCAGAGUCAGGCGAAGGGCCGGAGGCACCCUUCCUUUGUCCCUGGGAGAGUUUCCCCACCCCCACCAGCCCGACCUGCGAUUUCUCCCUCGGGUCCAGUGCAGAGGGAAGGGCAGCCAGGAGACCUGCUAAAUGCACUGCAGGCGAGCGAGGCAGAAUGGCCGGAUGUUCUCUAGACAUCGUGUUGAUUUCAGUUUUAUCUGCAGGUACGCCUGUCGUGUGUGGGUUGGAGAAUUGCUUUUAUUCAUACAAAGGCCACAGGGCUCUCACGGCCUCCCUCCCUGGGCAACUCUAGAAACGCGUUGGCAGCCAAAGAGGGCGAGAGAGUUGCACGGAGGGGUCAAAAGAUCGGCCUCCGGGGGGUAGCGAAGGAGAGGGUGGCGGGCAUCAGGUGUAUGGAUUUCUUUCCUGCAGCCGAUCAACCCAAGAGGGGAAUUCCUUUGGGAUGAGCGAGGUUCGUUUCCACAGCAGAUGCUUCACUGACUCUGAGGAACACCUUCCGCCUUGAGGUCCCAGCCCCCCCCCACAAGAAGUGGUCGUGUGUGUAUGUNNNNNNNNNNNNNNNNNNNNNNNNNNNNNNCUGUACCAAUAGCGGGGGGGGGGCUUCUUUCCAUCUCUCCUGUUCUGAUCUGAUGACCCAAGACUUGUAAUAGGGACCUGUUUCGAAUUCCUCCCUUCUAGGUAAGAGCUUGGUUUUUUGUAAUUAACUGAUAAGAUUCAAGUGGUGGCUUUUGAUUGUUUUCUUGAGUGAAUGGGGAAAGGGGGGGAGUUAAUUAAAAAAAAUCUUUCUCUGAUUCUUCUUGCCUUUUUUUCCCCCUUGAAUUUCUUGGCCCUAAUGUUGCUUUCUUAACAAUAAAGCCUAUUGAAACAAGGUGUGAUCCA